RNAcentral lists this long non-coding RNA (243 nucleotides) under Glycine max (soybean). RNAcentral describes it as "long non-coding RNA (GMAX_LNC004556)". The record is from RNAcentral. Lineage: Eukaryota; Viridiplantae; Streptophyta; Magnoliopsida; Fabales; Fabaceae.
AAAGAAAGCAUUAACAAACUUUAUUUGAAAGAAAGUUCACCGACCAUAUUUUAUUUUAUUAUUUUCACGUGACGACCUAAAGUAAUGGCUGACAUACUUUUAUUUUUGAAAGAGCAACAUAUUUUAAAUGUUAUGUGGGAUCAUAAAGAAAUGACUCCGAAUAGAGUUAUGAACUGGCCAUUCAAGACUCUAUAGUGAUGAUUUUCCUUCUGAACUUAAUUACUGUGAAAAAAAGAAAGAAAU